RNAcentral lists this ribosomal RNA (276 nucleotides) under uncultured bacterium. RNAcentral describes it as "partial 16S ribosomal RNA". It matches the Rfam family "Bacterial small subunit ribosomal RNA", at positions 28 to 305 of the family's 1533-position model. The record is from RNAcentral.
GACGAACGCUGGCGGCGUGCUUAACACAUGCAAGUCGAGCGGUAAGGCCCUUUCGGGGGUACACGAGCGGCGAACGGGUGAGUAACACGUGGGUGACCCUGCCCUCAGCUCUGGGAUAAGCCUGGGAAACCGGGUCUAAUACCGGAUAUGACUCCAUGACGCAUGUUGUGGGGUGAAAGCCUUGUGCGGCUGAGGAUGGGCCCGCGGCCUAUCAGCUUGUUGGUGGGGUGAUGGCCUACCAAGGCGACGACGGGUAGCCGGCCUGAGAGGGCGACC